RNAcentral lists this long non-coding RNA (554 nucleotides) under Homo sapiens (human). Its description in RNAcentral is "novel transcript". Lineage: Eukaryota; Metazoa; Chordata; Mammalia; Primates; Hominidae. The record is from RNAcentral.
CCCUCCCAGUUUGUGGUGCCUGCCAACUCCGAGCGGGUGAUGUGAAGAUAAAUGUGAUAACGUCUACAAAGUCCUCCAAAUUCUCGGGAUGAAAUGUGCUAUGUAAAUGGAACACAGCCCCGUUAUGAUUGAAGUUUAAUGCAGCAGCUCUCAGGCCUAUACAGGGAAUGCAGUCUGGCUGGAAGAUGAUGGAACUGAGGCAUGAUGAAAGCCCCUCGCAAGUAAGGGAGCUGGGAUUUGCUCCCAUGUUCCUAGCCACUUCAGUCUAUCGCCCUUCAUCUAUUCUACAUCAUAAAUAACACACAAACUUUUUUGCACCAAUUGUAGCUUGACUUGUAAACUCUACCUGAUGUUGUUUUCUAUAGUUGAAUAUGUCUGUUAUUUUUUAAAUAAUAUUUUAUUGUAGUUAUUGAAUAUCAUUAUAAUGACUUUUGGGAUAUACAGAUUUUUAUUUUUAUGCAGUUAAAUCUAUUCUUAUUUUCCUUCGUGACUUAUUCCAUCUUGAUUUUGUGUUUAGGAAGUCUUUCCAACCCAAUAAAUAGAUUUUCACCUAU